Molecule: ribosomal RNA, 324 nt
Filed under: uncultured eukaryote
Lineage: Eukaryota
Description: partial 18S ribosomal RNA
Rfam family: Eukaryotic small subunit ribosomal RNA
Source: RNAcentral
CCCUUAGACGUUCUGGGCCGCACGCGCGCUACACUGACCAGUGCAACAAGCAUCCGUCCUUGGCCGACAGGCCCGGGCAAUCUUUGAACGCUGGUCGUGAUGGGGAUAGACUUUUGCAAUUUUUGGUCUUCAACGAGGAAUUCCUAGUAAACGCAAGUCAUCAACUUGCAUUGAUUACGUCCCUGCCCUUUGUACACACCGCCCGUCGCACCUACCGAUUGAAUGUUUCGGUGAAGAUUCCGGAUAGGACUGAUUUGAUUUAUUUCAUUUCUGACCUAAAAGCUAUCUAAACCUCAACAUUUAGAGGAAGGUGAAGUCGUAACA